CGUAUGCAACCUACCUAGUCAGAGGGGAACUAACCCGGCGAAAGUCGGACUAAUACCGCAUAAACAGGGGCACCGCAUGGUGAUAUUUGUUAAAGAAAUUCGCUGAUAGAUGGGCAUGCGUUCCAUUAGGUAGUGGUGAGGUAACGGCUCACCAAGCCGACGAUGGAUAGGGGAACUGAGAGGUUGGUCCCCACACUGGUACUGAGACACGGACCAGACUCCUACGGGAGGCAGCAGUGAGGAAUAUUGGUCAAUGGGCGGGAGCCUGAACCAGCCAAGUCGCGUGAAAGGAAGAAGGAUCUAUGGUUCGUAAACUUCUUUUGCAGGGGAAUAAAGUGCAGGACGUGUCCUGUUUUGUAUGUACCCUGAGAAUAAGGAUCGGCUAACUCCGUGCCAGCCGCAGC
This 404-nucleotide ribosomal RNA is filed under the name uncultured bacterium. RNAcentral's name for it is "bacterial SSU rRNA". It matches the Rfam family "Bacterial small subunit ribosomal RNA", at positions 116 to 518 of the family's 1533-position model. The record is from RNAcentral.